CCUACGGGAGGCAGCAGUCGGGAAUUUUGGGCAAUGGGGGAAAUCCCUGACCCAGCAACGCCGCGUGAGGGAUGAAGGCCCUCGGGUCGUAAACCUCUGUCGGAAGGGAAGAAAGGCCUCCGUUCGAACAGGGCGGGGGCUCGACGGUACCUUCAAAGGAAGCACCGGCUAACUCCGUGCCAGCAGCCGCGGUAAUACGGAGGGUGCAAGCGUUGUUCGGAAUCACUGGGCGUAAAGCGCGUGUAGGCGGCUUGGCAAGUCGAGUGUGAAAUCCCAGGGCUCAACCCUGGAACUGCACCCGAAACUGCCUGGCUGGAGUCCCGGAGAGGGUGGCGGAAUUUCCGGUGUAGAGGUGAAAUUCGUAGAUACCGGAAGGAACACCAGUGGCGAAGGCGGCCACCUGGACGGUGACUGACGCUGAGACGCGAAAGCGUGGGGAGCAAACAGGAUUAGAUACCCUGGUAGUCCACGCCGUAAACGUUGAGUGCUAGGCGUCGGGGGUAUUGACCCCUCCGGUGCCGGAGUUAACGCAUUAAGCACUCCGCCUGGGGAGUACGGCCGCAAGGCUAAAACUCAAAGGAAUUGACGG
This 589-nucleotide ribosomal RNA is filed under the name uncultured bacterium. RNAcentral describes it as "bacterial SSU rRNA". It matches the Rfam family "Bacterial small subunit ribosomal RNA", at positions 338 to 916 of the family's 1533-position model. The record is from RNAcentral.